This 288-nucleotide ribosomal RNA is filed under the name uncultured bacterium. Its description in RNAcentral is "partial 16S ribosomal RNA". It matches the Rfam family "Bacterial small subunit ribosomal RNA", at positions 773 to 1060 of the family's 1533-position model. The record is from RNAcentral.
GUGGAUUAGAUACCCUAGUAGUCCACGCCGUAAACGAUGUCAACUAGCCGUAGGAAGCAUCUGGCUUUUUGUGGCGCAGCUAACGCGAUAAGUUGACCGCCUGGGGAGUACGGCCGCAAGGCUAAAACUCAAAUGAAUUGACGGGGGCCCGCACAAGCGGUGGAGCAUGUGGUUUAAUUCGAUGCAACGCGAAAAACCUUACCUGCCCUUGACAUGUCAGGAAUCUUCCAGAGAUGGGAGAGUGCCUUCGGGAGCCUGAACACAGGUGCUGCACGGUCGUCGUCAACU